This is a non-coding RNA of Tinamus guttatus (white-throated tinamou), 95 nucleotides long. The record is from RefSeq and is a predicted model, not a curated record. Lineage: Eukaryota; Metazoa; Chordata; Aves; Tinamiformes; Tinamidae.
UCACAUUCUUGGUCAGUAAAAACAAAACAGACCCGGAGACGCCCCGUCAUUUGUUCCCCUGCAUUCACACAGAGUAUCUGUGAUGUCUUUUUUUG